This 367-nucleotide long non-coding RNA is filed under the name Coffea arabica (coffee). Its description in RNAcentral is "long non-coding RNA (CARA_LNC005104)". Lineage: Eukaryota; Viridiplantae; Streptophyta; Magnoliopsida; Gentianales; Rubiaceae. The record is from RNAcentral.
CGAUACGGGAUCACGGGGAGAGGUCCCUCAAUCCUAUCAUCAUCACUGCUGCUAUCCAUAUCCUACAAAUAACCCACAAAACUAAAGGUCAAAUCCUUACAAUCACUGAUACCAAUUGAAAAUUCAACUUAAGGUCUAUCAUGCAUUUCUAUGACCAAAAGUUCACGACUAAGAACUUCUAACUCUACUCCAGGUAUUUCAAAUCUAGCACUCUAAUAUCAAUUGUGAUGCCCCCACUUCUCGGUAGGGUGAACCCUAGAGUAUUAGCAGAACGCCUGCCCAACUCUCGUCAGCAUUCACGCACUCGUUCAAACUUAAUAUAGAGUCACAGAACAACCAUCGAUUUAAUUAAGAAAUAUUUCGAAUA